GGGGUUGUGGCGUAGUGGUAGAGCACUCGCCCAGCAAGUGAGAGGCCUGGGUUCAAUCCUCAGCACCACA
This 70-nucleotide transfer RNA is filed under the name Marmota monax (woodchuck). RNAcentral's name for it is "tRNA.Ala". It matches the Rfam family "tRNA". From Rfam's summary of the family: Transfer RNA (tRNA) molecules are approximately 80 nucleotides in length. Their secondary structure includes four short double-helical elements and three loops (D, anti-codon, and T loops). Further hydrogen bonds mediate the characteristic L-shaped molecular structure. tRNAs have two regions of fundamental functional importance: the anti-codon, which is responsible for specific mRNA codon recognition, and the 3' end, to which the tRNAs corresponding amino acid is attached (by aminoacyl-tRNA synthetases). tRNAs cope with the degeneracy of the genetic code in two manners: having more than one tRNA (with a specific anti-codon) for a particular amino acid; and 'wobble' base-pairing, i.e. permitting non-standard base-pairing at the 3rd anti-codon position. The record is from RNAcentral. Lineage: Eukaryota; Metazoa; Chordata; Mammalia; Rodentia; Sciuridae.